CCUGAGAGAGGGUGGGGUGAGGCUGGGGGAGAGAUCCCUUCUCCCGAUGGAUAAAACAAAAUGAAACAGCCUCGAGUUGCAGCAGGGGAAGUUUAUUCAGAAGAAAAUUCCGUCAUGAAAAGGGUUGUCCUGCCCUGGCACGGUGGGAUUGCUGUCUGGAAUUAUCCCAAAAAAAGGCCGGAUCUGGCACAUGGGGACGCUUCACAGAUCCCAAAUCUCUGCAGAUUCCUUCUGUCUGUUCAUGAUCUCAUCCAAACCCAGCCACCCCUCAAGCCUCUUCAACCCCAAAAAAUUCCUGCCAAAAAAAAUCCUCAUUUUGGAGCUCUUUUCCCUUUUUAUCAAACCUAAAUUAAAACCAAAUAUCCCCAAAUUCAUCUCUCAGGACAAAGGUCACCCACAGAUCCCACAGCGAGCGUGGUUUGACAUCAGCUUCCAGGUGAAUUCCUCACUUCUGGUGAAUUCCUCAUUUCCAGGUGAAUUCCUCAUUUCCAGGAGAAUUCCUCACUUCCAGGUGAGUUAAUUCUUCAUUUCCAGGUGAAUUCCUCACUUCCAAGUGAGUUUCUCAAUUCCAGAUGAGUGAAUUCCUCACUUCCAGGUGAAUUCCUCUCUCUUUUUCCUCCCGACUUCCACAUCUCACCUGUGUUUUUUUUCCCCCUGUUUGCUGAGAAUUUGCCUUUUUCUUCCCCCCAAGGUCACCCCCUGGUCAAACCUCCCUCCUUCCUCCUCCUCCUGGUAAUCCCAGGCCGGCUGUUGCUGGCUCUGCUCCCCCGGCUCCGGCCGCUGACCGCUGGCGUGGGCGGCGUUAAUCAGGGCUAACGAGGAGAUGGGGAGGGAGGCCCUGCUGGGGUUAAUUAAUGAUCCCAUCCCUGCUGGAUUCUGGAAUGAGCUGCCUCAAAUUCUUGGAAUUGGGAGGAAAUCAGAGUUUGGCAAACAGGGGUUUUGCAUAAAUCAUUAAUUCGGGGAGUGGUUAAUUAGGGGAGAAGGGAAGGAGGCUCCAGGAUCCCAAAUGGUUUAUUAGUGGUUAAAAAUUAAUUGUGGGAUUUGUAGGGAUUUUUUUGCAGGAGAUGAGAUUGGGGGGAAAAAAACAUUUCAGGGAUAAAGUGAUAUUUGGGAUAAU
Molecule: long non-coding RNA, 1117 nt
Organism: Oenanthe melanoleuca
Lineage: Eukaryota; Metazoa; Chordata; Aves; Passeriformes; Muscicapidae
Exons: 2
Source: RefSeq, a predicted model, not a curated record